Long non-coding RNA from Ornithodoros turicata, 868 nucleotides. RefSeq lists it as uncharacterized. Lineage: Eukaryota; Metazoa; Arthropoda; Arachnida; Ixodida; Argasidae. The transcript is spliced from 3 exons. The record is from RefSeq and is a predicted model, not a curated record.
ACACACCCGUCUCGUACGUAUCGAGAAACGUGAUAAGCUUGGAUGACGCCCCGUUGGAUCCAGUUCUUUGCUUUUGUAGGUGUGGAAGUAUUGCUGAACAUGUACGCAUAGGUGCAAACGCGCGAUAUAUGAAGCAAUGUGCCGUGAAGUAUCCAGUCGACUUGCUGUUACUGUAAGUGCACCAGUGAUCAUUCAAUUUUUCGUUGAUACAGUUUCCCGUCUGCCUGUGCACGGUCUACCACAUGACAGCGGUAUCCUGUAAGCCACAUUGAACUCGCACUCCUUGAAUUUGUGCGUGUGUGUGGUCGACACAGCAUCCUUGCCUAUCCACCUCAAUGAAAGAUUCUCGGUGACGAAAUCCGAAAUAUCCUGAACACGAGAACGCACUUUUGCCCUUUGAUAUUUAACGAAAAGGAUGCUGCCUAUGUCGAAGAAACCGAGAAAAUCCCACUGAAAUAUAUCUAAGCGUUUCAAGGACACGUGUUCUGCACGAGGUUGAACCCAAAGUUCUACGGCGUCUUCAGAAGUACGACACAGCAGGACAGAAGGGGGACAGGAACAAUUGGGAUCAUGUUUCUGGGUGAUAUCGUACCAGCCUCUCAGCAGCGGUGCACGGCGAUUGACCUUGGCCCUGGCGAGAGCUAACAUUACUGCAAUUCGUUUGACCUUUUCACCUCCUGAUAGCCACUUAUCGAUGACACGAUGACUGGUCGCUUGUGAUGGCAGUUGUGCCACUUGAUCACAGGGAAAACUGAUCAAUCUGUCGAGAGGAAGCGGAUGGAGGAGAAGAGUUGGGAUCUGCGGACAUCUCAGAAAAAUACUGUAACUGAAGAAAGAUCGUCUUGUGUUUCAAACAUUCUGACGUGAA